Long non-coding RNA from Talpa occidentalis (Iberian mole), 937 nucleotides. RefSeq lists it as uncharacterized. The record is from RefSeq and is a predicted model, not a curated record. The transcript has 3 exons. Lineage: Eukaryota; Metazoa; Chordata; Mammalia; Eulipotyphla; Talpidae.
CAGGUUACCGGAACUAAACCAUUCACCACCAGAACUAAACUAGAAGGUGAAGAUGUGUGCUGAUAAUGGUUAAUCAUUUAUAAUUCCAUGGACUGGUUGGGAGCCAAUGUACUAGCAAAGCCACAGCCCCACACAGUCUCCGGUUGCCCCAGAAGCAGGGUGGAGACGAUUGGCAGCCCAGGGCAAUCCCAUCUCCCAGCUAACAUUUGCUGAGCAGCAACUAAGCUGAAGGUGUGGGAAAAGAAGACACGAGAAUCCCAGACUGCCUGCCAGGAGCUCAGUCUCGCUGGAGGGGGCAGAGUGGGGUGUGGGUCAGAGUGGUGGCCAAGUAUGUGAAUGCAGAAGAAUCCAGAAGGUGAAAUCACUUCUUCCUGGAGCUACCAAAGAAGAUUCAGGGAGGAGAGUGACCCAAGCCAGUUCCUACAAGUGGACAGACUUUUUGCCAAGUGGGAGAACCAAUAGUGAACAAAUAAAGUGAGUCCUCACUUAACAUCCUCAACAGGUUUUUAGCAACCAGGACUUAAAACGAAGUGACACAUAACGAAAGCAUGUCCUCAAAAAACAUCCUCUUAUUCAAUGUCAGCUGGCCAGGACUCCCUUUUUCUUAUCAAAGUUAUAGAGACAAUGUUGAACGAAAUGCUAUGCAAGGAUUCCCUGCAAGGACCUUCCCAGAAAUAACCAGAUGUAGGAGCAAGCACAGCUCUGAACCUGGCCCAGAUCCUCUCCUCACUGCCGCCCAGUCUUCGCCCACAGAUGAUAGUGGCUGAGGUCCAGUUGGGUCUUGCAAAAUCAAGAGUUUCCCUCUCCGAGGCUCAGGACACACACAAGACAUCAAGUCCACCGUAAUGCAUGAUCAAUAAAGUCUAAUUAAAUAGGACGUCAUAUUACAGGUCUUCUUUGUCACAUUCAGACCUAAUCUAAUUAUAAGUCCACUGUA